CCACACCUACACGCAAAAUCCUUCUUCUCUCUCAUCGCUCUUUCCCCUUUCUCCUAUCAUUAGAUCUUCCUCUUCUCCACCUCCUUCUUCUCCUUUCAAUUUCCAUAAAAUCCGCCUGCCAUCAUCAGCGUGAUUUCCUCCAAGCCCAACUUUCAGUCAAAGACAAAGAAAGGUAAGAUCUGUGAAAUCUUUUUUCACCUUCUCCUUGUUGGCCUCAUAAAUGCCUUUGAUUUCAGUUCAAAUCAAAAAUUUUAAAUUUGGAUUUUGCCUAUAAAUAACAAGGUUUUUCGUGCUCCAAAGAGGGACACACAUAGACAGAGAAGAGAAUUCACAUCCAAAUACACACAGGCAGACUCACGAAUCUUUAGUUUUACUACUUUCCUUUUGUCUUCUCUGAUUUUUGAGUUUUGAGUUGGAAUCUUUGAAAACAAUAUCAACAACCUUAGUUUGCUGCACCACAGAAGUGCUAUUCUGUUUGAUCAUAUUACUUAUGAUGUAGAUAGAGUAUUGAUCCUUAUCUUUUUCUCUUCUUAUGUUUCAUGUGUAUCCGGAGGACUGGAAUUUCAAUUCGAAAUUCAUUUUGGUCCUAAAUAUUAGGUCAACAGCUAUUAGGAUCAGAGCUCGGAGUUUUGUAUAUAUGACAUACCUUGUAUUUUCAAUAUUUUCUCAAAACUAAUGAAAACUUUUCUUGUUAAUAUUUUCUAAAGAGAACAAAAAUGAAUAAAUAUCCCUAAAUUAUUUUUCUAAACUAAAUUUAAGGACUAUCUUCGGAUAGACCCUGAGUGAUGCUUAACACCUUCCCCUCGAGUAAUCAAAACCCUUACCUAGAAUCUCAUCGAUUUCGCAAAUCAAAACAGAGUUUACAUUUAUAUUUUUUUAAAAUGGUUUUCCUAAUAUUUUUCCUUAAAAUUAGGUGGCGAUUCUAAACAUUUUCAAAAUCAGAGGCAUAGCCACUUUUAUGUUGUGAACUAUUUCGACCUGUUCGAAAAUAGGGUGCGACAGUUGAUGAUGCUAAGAAGUUUGAAAAAGAUAAUAGAACUGUGAGAGGACAUUUGUUAAAUUAUAUGAUUAAUCCUUUAUAUAACUUAUUUGUGACUUAUAAAUAUGCUAUGGAAGUAUGGAAUAAUUUGAAAAAGAAAUAUGGUGCUAACGAUGCAGGAAAGAUAGAAAUAUGUUGUUGGUCAGUAGAUUAAAUUUCAGAUGAUUGAUAAUAAGCCAAUCAUGGAACAAGUUCAUGAAAAGAACUUGAAUGUUGAUGUUCUUAACGACAUGAAGAUGUGUGACAUAUUUCAUGGUAAUGUUCUGCUUGAAAGAUUUCCACCAUCUUGGACUGAUUAUAGAAAUCAAUUAAAACAUAAAAAAAUUGGGAAUGGACUAGGGUUAUGAACUUAUAAUCUGAUGAUCGAGUCGAUUCCAUGAUUAUAAGUUCAUUCCAUACCAGAACAGACCUUAACUUUGUAAGAACUUAUUAGUCACAUUAGGAAUGAAGAGGCGAACUAUCUCAAAGAUAAGAUGGAAGCUCUUUCUCUUAAUUUUCUAAAGCUAAUCUUGAGGAAUCUUCUGGUAAUAUUGUGAAAAACAGGUUCAAAGGCAAACAAAAGAAAGUCUUGAAAAAAGAAUAUGUGAAGAAGAAAAAUUAUUUUAACAAGUCAGAGAGUCAAAUUCAAAAAUCUAAGGGAUCUUGUUUUGUCUGUGGAAAACUUGGUCACAGGCUGCCCAGUGCCAUCAAAGAAAAGGGCAAAACUUGAAGCGGGAAGGACAAACUGUUGUCCAAGUUCAUCUUGCUGAGGGUGAUGAAGUGCUUGUUACUGUAGUCGUUGAGGCAAAUCUAGUGGCUAACAAGACUGAUUGACCCCUAAACACAAGCGCUUCAAGGAAUUUUUGUGCCAAUAAGAAGUUAUUCCAUUACUUUGAGGAGUCCACUCAUAGCGAGUGUGUAUACACGUGUAACUCAACUACUGCUUUAGUAAUGGGUAAAGAAAAAGUUUUACUUAAAUUAACUUCUGAAAAAACUUUAGCCUUGAACAAUGUUCCGUAAGUUCCCUCCCUCAGUAGGAACUUAGUUUUCGGAGCACUUCUCAACAAAGUAUGGCUUAAAUUGUUUUUGAAGCUGAUAAAAUAAUUAUUUCUCAUGGAGGAGACUUUGUUGCGAAGAGAUAUAUUAGUGGAGUCUUAUUUGUAUUGAACAUUGUUCAAGAGACUGUAAAUAAUGCAAGUAUUUCAAA
Molecule: long non-coding RNA, 2225 nt
Organism: Solanum dulcamara
Lineage: Eukaryota; Viridiplantae; Streptophyta; Magnoliopsida; Solanales; Solanaceae
Exons: 2
Source: RefSeq, a predicted model, not a curated record